Molecule: long non-coding RNA, 347 nt
Filed under: Homo sapiens (human)
Lineage: Eukaryota; Metazoa; Chordata; Mammalia; Primates; Hominidae
Description: non-protein coding lnc-TSPAN9-2:1
Source: RNAcentral
AUGACAAAGAAAAGAAGGAACUAGCGUUAUGCCAAAAAGGGCCAUGGCCACGUGCUGUCUAUUCACUGCAUGAACUGUGCACAAUGCGUGCCUGACAACAAGGCCAUUAAGAAAUUCAUCAUUUGAAACACAGUGGAGGCCGCAGCAGUCAGGGACAUUUCUGAAGCCAGAGUCUUCCAUGCCUAUGUGCUUCCCAAGCUGUAAGUGAAGCUAUAUUCCUGUGUGAGUGUGCAAUUCACAGCAAAGUAGUCAGGAACAGAUCUAGUGAAGCCAGCAAGGACCAAACACCCCCAUCCUGAUUUAGACCUUCACGUGCUGCCUCACGACCCCCACCAAAGCCCAUGUAA